This 491-nucleotide ribosomal RNA is filed under the name uncultured bacterium. RNAcentral describes it as "partial 16S ribosomal RNA". It matches the Rfam family "Bacterial small subunit ribosomal RNA", at positions 29 to 507 of the family's 1533-position model. The record is from RNAcentral.
AGUGAACGCUGGCGGUAGGCCUAACACAUGCAAGUCGAACGGCAGCACAGUAAGAGCUUGCUCUUACGGGUGGCGAGUGGCGGACGGGUGAGGAAUACAUCGGAAUCUACUUUUUCGUGGGGGAUACGUAGGGAAACUUACGCUAAUACCGCAUACGACCUACGGGUGAAAGCAGGGGAUCUUCGGACCUUGCGCGAUUGAAUGAGCCGAUGUCGGAUUAGCUAGUUGGCGGGGUAAAGGCCCACCAAGGCGACGAUCCGUAGCUGGUCUGAGAGGAUGAUCAGCCACACUGGAACUGAGACACGGUCCAGACUCCUACGGGAGGCAGCAGUGGGGAAUAUUGGACAAUGGGCGCAAGCCUGAUCCAGCCAUACCGCGUGGGUGAAGAAGGCCUUCGGGUUAUAAAGCCCUUUUGUUGGGAAAGAAAAGCAGCAGGUUAAUACCCCGCUGUUCUGACGGUACCCAAAGAAUAAGCACCGGCUAACUUCGUG